RNAcentral lists this ribosomal RNA (415 nucleotides) under uncultured bacterium. RNAcentral describes it as "bacterial SSU rRNA". It matches the Rfam family "Bacterial small subunit ribosomal RNA", at positions 30 to 453 of the family's 1533-position model. The record is from RNAcentral.
AUUGAACGCUGGCGGCAGGCUUAACACAUGCAAGUCGAGCGGAGACUUCGGUCUUAGCGGCGAACGGGUGAGUAAUACCUAGGAAUCUGCCUAUUAGUGGGGGAUAACGAAUCGAAAGGUUCGCUAAUACCGCAUACGUCCUACGGGAGAAAGGGGGGAGUCUUCGGACCUCUCGCUAAUAGAUGAGCCUAGGCCGGAUUAGCUAGUUGGUAGGGUAAAGGACCUACCAAGGCGACGAUCUGUAGCUGGUCUGAGAGGAUGGCCAGCCACACUGGAACUGAGACACGGUCCAGACUCCUACGGGAGGGCAGCAGUGGGGAAGUAUUGGACAAUGGGGGCGAACCCUGAUCCAGCCAUGCCGCGUGUGUGAUGAAGGCCUUCGGUUGGUUAAAGACCCUCGUCGAGGGGGACGGAA